Molecule: ribosomal RNA, 188 nt
Filed under: uncultured bacterium
Lineage: Bacteria
Description: partial 16S ribosomal RNA
Rfam family: Bacterial small subunit ribosomal RNA
Source: RNAcentral
CGUCUUAAAAAUGAAGAUUAAUACUCCAUGGCAUUAUGAUAUGGCAUCAUAUUAUAAUUAAAGAUUUAUCGGUAUAAGAUGAGUAUGCGUCCUAUUAGUUAGUUGGUAAGGUAAUGGCUUACCAAGACUUCGAUAGGUAGGGGUCCUGAGAGGGAGACCCCCCACACUGGUACUGAGACACGGACCAG